UGGGGAAUUUUGGACAAUGGGCGAAAGCCUGAUCCAGCAAUGCCGCGUGCAGGAAGAAGGCCUUCGGGUUGUAAACUGCUUUUGUACGGAACGAAACGGUUCUUUCUAAUAAAGAGGGCUAAUGACGGUACCGUAAGAAUAAGCACCGGCUAACUACGUGCCAGCAGCCGCGGUAAUACGUAGGGUGCGAGCGUUAAUCGGAAUUACUGGGCGUAAAGCGUGCGCAGGCGGUUAUAUAAGACAGUUGUGAAAUCCCCGGGCUCAACCUGGGAAUUGCAUCUGUGACUGUAUAGCUAGAGUACGGUAGAGGGGGAUGGAAUUCCGCGUGUAGCAGUGAAAUGCGUAGAUAUGCGGAGGAACACCGAUGGCGAAGGCAAUCCCCUGGACCUGUACUGACGCUCAUGCACGAAAGCGUGGGGAGCAAACAGGAUUAGAUACCCUGGUAGUCCACGCCCUAAACGAUGUCAACUGGUUGUUGGGUGCAUUAGUACUCAGUAACGAAGCUAACGCGUGAAGUUGACCGCCUGGGGAGUACGGCCGCAAGGUUG
Molecule: ribosomal RNA, 548 nt
Filed under: uncultured prokaryote
Description: bacterial SSU rRNA
Rfam family: Bacterial small subunit ribosomal RNA
Source: RNAcentral